RNAcentral lists this ribosomal RNA (257 nucleotides) under uncultured bacterium. Its description in RNAcentral is "partial 16S ribosomal RNA". It matches the Rfam family "Bacterial small subunit ribosomal RNA", at positions 28 to 285 of the family's 1533-position model. The record is from RNAcentral.
GACGAACGCUGGCGGCGUGCUUAACACAUGCAAGUCGAGCGGUAAGGCCCUUUCGGGGGUACGACGAGCGGCGAACAGGUGAGUAACACGUGGGUGACCUGCCCUCAGCUCUGGGAUAAGCCUGGGAAACCGGGUCUAAUACUGGAUAUGACUCCAUGACGCAUGUUGUGGGGUGGAAAGCCUUGUGCGGCUGAGGAUGGGCCCGCGGCCUAUCAGCUUGUUGGUGGGGUGAUGGCCUACCAAGGCGACGACGGGUA